GACGAACCGUGCGAACGUUGUUCGGAUUCACUGGGCUUAAAGGGCGCGUAGGCGGGCGGUCAAGUCAGGGGUGAAAUCUUUCGGCUCAACCGGAAAAGUGCCUUUGAUACUGGCCGUCUCGAGGGGGGUAGGGGCAUGCGGAACUUCCGGUGGAGCGGUGAAAUGCGUAGAUAUCGGAAGGAACGCCGGUGGCGAAAGCGGCGUGCUGGACCUCUUCUGACGCUGAGGCGCGAAAGCCAGGGGAGCAAACGGG
Molecule: ribosomal RNA, 253 nt
Filed under: uncultured bacterium
Lineage: Bacteria
Description: partial 16S ribosomal RNA
Rfam family: Bacterial small subunit ribosomal RNA
Source: RNAcentral